Molecule: transfer RNA, 74 nt
Organism: Drechmeria coniospora
Lineage: Eukaryota; Fungi; Ascomycota; Sordariomycetes; Hypocreales; Ophiocordycipitaceae
Rfam family: tRNA
About the family: Transfer RNA (tRNA) molecules are approximately 80 nucleotides in length.
Source: Rfam
UCUCCUGUAGCUCAGUUGGCUAGAGCGUCCGACUGUUAAUCGGGAGGUCGAAAGUUCAAGCCUUUCCGGGAGAG